UGACACUUAAUGCUCUUUGCGAUGAAUUUCCACCUUUUCCUAGUGCAUUAAAUGGUGUUAUCAGAACACUUGAUCUAAUCUGAAUUUAAACUCUCAUUUUCCCAUGCAAUUAUGACACUUAAUGCUCUUUUUGAUGACUUUCCACCUUUCCCAAGGACAUUAAAUGGUGUUAUUGUUUCCCAAGCAUUCGGCAGGCUUCAAUGUCUAUUUUGCGAUGCUCAAGGUGGCUUUCAUUAGUCACAACAACUCACAACCCUCUCUCUGCUAAUUGAUUCCAUUUUUUUUUUUUACGAUGAUAUCAAAAUUCUCAAACACUCCUCUUCUCUUCUUCAUCGAUGCUCUUCUCUCAAAAUCAUUCUUCAUCUAAUAUCUCUAUAUGUUCAUCUCAAUGUUUCCACUUUCGGCCUCAUCCACAAACCACUGCGAGAACCAUGCGAUUGAGAGUCAACACAUUCGGAAGAGAAGAGAAUUUUACAUCAUAUCUAGAUCUCGAACUCAAAAUCAUAUGUAUCUCCAUCUGUUGGUUUCAAUCCAAGAAAACAAAUUGAAUUUGUUGACCUAAUUCCAUUUCCCUAGCUAGGUAAACAAUGGUGUUGUUGUGAAUGAAAAGUGGAAAAAGAAUGGCGAUAUUCUGUUUACAACUGGUUUUUGUUAAAGAAUUUCGAAAUUAUGAAUAAAACUACAUAUUUCGACAAAAACAUUAAUCUCUGUAUCAGUUGAAUUAUAUGAUUCCAUUGAGGAUCGUUAGAGUUGUGAUUGAACUUGAUGCUCGUCAUGGCCACAUUCCUAAUCAUAGUAAAUUUUUCUAUUAUACCGUUUGUCUAACUUAAACCACAAUUUUCAUAUUUUGCAGGUGAGGCUGAUAUUUCCAAUCUGUAAAUGUAUAUUAAACCUGAAUUGAAUUGAAUUUAAUUUGUUUUAUGAGUUAAUAUCUCCAUAUGUUUCAAUCACUAUUUUAAAGUGUGUCUCUAAUCAUAUGUUUUUCUUCUUUAAGAGUUUGGAUUGAAAAAUGGUGUCUUUUUAGAUUUCUUUAAGAGUUUAGAUAGAAAAAUAGUGUCUUUUUAGAGUUUAGAAAUGAAUGCAGCAGAUCUAAGUUUCAAACACAUGGACAUGUGUUCUAAUAAUAACUUUUAUAAUUGAUUUUUCUGCGUUGAGAUGAGGCUGUUAAUGUCACGCUUGAUUUUGAAAAUGUGAACACGUCCGAUUUUGAAAAUGUUAACAUAGGUGAUGAGGUUGUAAAAGACAAUGAUGAACCUAACCUGGGCAUGGAUUGCUCUGAAGCUGCAGUUGUUAGAGUUAAAACCCUACAUAUCAGUUCUCCGAUCUUUAUAUUCAUCAUUAACUCCUCUCACAUCAGAUUUAUUUCAUAUUGUUAAUAACUUUUGCUUUGUUAUGUUGAUAAAAU
Medicago truncatula (barrel medic) is the source of this 1405-nucleotide long non-coding RNA. RefSeq lists it as uncharacterized. The record is from RefSeq and is a predicted model, not a curated record. NCBI's taxonomy places the organism in Eukaryota, Viridiplantae, Streptophyta, Magnoliopsida, Fabales, Fabaceae. The transcript has 2 exons.